GUAAAUGUGUUGGUUGUUAUCCUCGUUGUGAUUGGUAAAUGUGUUGGUUGUUAUCCUCGUUGUGAUUGGUAAAUGUGUUGGUUGUUAUCGUUGUGAUUGGAUGGGAGUAUGUCUAGACAGAGAGGACAGAGAAGUAGACCAUGUGAACAAGGGGAUCAGACUCAUUUACUGAAAUAUAUAACGGUUCAAAUCCUCGUCUUUCUGGGACCGGACGGCCGGACGGCCGGACUGACUGACUGACCGGCCCGGACUGACUGACUGACUGACUGACCGACCGGACUGACUGACUGACUGGCUGACUGACCGCCCUGACUGACUGACUGACUGACUGAGACUGACUGACUGACCGCCCGGACUGACUGGCUGACUGGCUGACUGGCUGACUGACUGACUGACUGACUGACUGACUGACCGACUGACUGACUGACUGACUGACUGACCGCCCGGACUGACUGACUGGCUGACUGGCUGACUGGCUGACUGACUGACCGGCCGGACUGACUGUUUUUUUUCAGCUGUGAUUGUAAAUGGAGACUGAACGGAGAGGCUUCAAGGCUGGCGAGGCUUACACACACACACACACACACACACACACACACACACACACACACACACACACACACACACACACACACACACACACACACACACACACACACACACAGUGGUUGGCUACUCACACAAAAGACCAGCAAUAAUAAUGACUGAAUGAAAUGACAGUAAUGGUUCAGCAGUAGUUCUGAUAGUAUCUCUGAAACCCUGUCCCUGUGUCUACACAAUAAAAGGUGUGUGUGUCUGUGUGUGUGUGUGUGUCUGUGUGUGUGAUACCCUGUCCCUGUGUCUACACAAUAAAAGGUGUGUGUGUCUGUGUGUGUGUUACCCUGUCCCUGUGUCUACACAAUAAAAGGUGUGUGUGUCUGUGUGUGUGUGUCUGUGUGUGUCUGUGUUUGUCUGUGUGUGUGUUACCCUGUCCCUGUGUCUACACAAUAAAAGGUGUGUGUGUCUGUGUGUGUGUUACCCUGUCCCUGUGUCUACACAAUAAAAGGUGUGUGUGUGUGUGUCUGUGUGUGUCUGUGUGUGUGUGUGUGUGUGUCUGUGUGUGUGUUUGUCUGUUUGUCUGUGUGUCUGUGUGUGUGUGUGUGUGUCUGUGUGUGUCUGUGUGUGUGUUUGUCUGAGAGCCCAUCCAGCCGACGCGACGCACAAUCACAUUACUCAGAGGCUGCUCCAAAACACCGCCGGCUGGGAAGUGGUAUUUGGACUUCUAGCCCGACUCAGGAGGAAGGGGCACACCAUCCACCGCUUCCGAGUAUAUUACUCGCUAACGUUCAGUCUCCCUGGAUAAUAAAGUAGACGUCUCUCUGGAAGGAUAUGCUCACACUGAGCUCAUCAGGUACAUCAAAGCUGGGACCGAGAGACUGAAAAACAGCUUCUAUCUCAAGGCCAUCAGACUGUUAAACAGCCAUCACUAGCCGGCUUCCACCCGGUUACGCAAUCCUGCACCUUAGAGGCUGCUGCCUCUCAUACAUAGACAUGGAAUCACUGGCCACUUUAAAUAAUGGAACACUAGUCACUCUAAUAAUGUUUACACACUGUUAAUAAUUUACUAAACUCAACUGUACAUACUGUAUUCUAUUCUACUGUAUUUUAGUCUAUGCCACUCUGACAUUGCUCAUCCUAAUAUUAAUAUAUUUCUUUAUUACAUUUGACUAGUUUUAGAUUUGUGUGUAUUGUUGUGUAUUGUUAGAUAUUACUGCACUGUUGGAGAUAAGAACACAAGCAUUUCGCUACACCCGCAAUAACAUCUGCUAAAUAUGUGUAUGUGACCAAUAAACAUUUAUUUGAUUCAA
This is a long non-coding RNA of Oncorhynchus nerka (sockeye salmon), 1847 nucleotides long. RefSeq lists it as uncharacterized. The transcript is spliced from 2 exons. NCBI's taxonomy places the organism in Eukaryota, Metazoa, Chordata, Actinopteri, Salmoniformes, Salmonidae. The record is from RefSeq and is a predicted model, not a curated record.